Molecule: RNA transcript, 678 nt
Organism: Hirundo rustica (Barn swallow)
Lineage: Eukaryota; Metazoa; Chordata; Aves; Passeriformes; Hirundinidae
Gene name: scale keratin-like
Exons: 3
Source: RefSeq, a predicted model, not a curated record
AUGUCCGAAACGCACAACACAGUUCAGGGUUCUUCCAGCCCCUCCAAGCCCUCACCUGUGCCCAAAUUCCUGGGUGCUGUUCCUGCUAUCAGGGAUCUGACGUGGCAGGAAGGACAGGAUGGCCUGGGCAGCGGGAGAUUGGCCCGGCUGGAGCUGAGCAAUGCUGGGGCUGCUAUAAAAGCCCUGCCUGGGCCAGAGCGGGCCAAGCACUGCCCUGGCCACCUUCUCCUCCUCGGGGACAAGGCUGCCCUCUCUUGCAGAGCACCCUCACAUCCCACGCCAAGAUGUCCUGCUACGACCUGUGCCCCCCCAGGACCAGCGCGGACCUGUGCCCGCCCAGGACCAGCGUGGCUGUGCCCCAGCCCAUCGCUGAGAGCUGCAACGAGCUGUGCGCCCGCCAGUGCCCCGACUCUUCGGCUUUCAUCCAGCCUCCACCCGUGGUGGUCACCUUCCCCGGGCCCAUCCUCAGCUCCUUCCCCCAGCAAGCCGUGGUGGGCUCCUCCGGAGCACCGGCCUUUGGCGGCUCCCUGGGGCUGGGCGGCCUCUACGGCGCCGGCGCCACCCAGGCCUCGGGCGGCCUCUGCACCUUUGGCAGAGCCUACGCUGCUCCCGCCUGCAGCCCUUGCGCCUUGCCGCGCUACAGCAAGAAGCUCUGGGACACCUGCGGGCCCUGCUAGA